AUCUGAUGUGCAGAAAUUAUCCUGCUCUCUCUCUCUCUCCUGAUAUUUCUCUCAUUUAUCUAUUUCCAGAAAUACUUCUCCAAGUGCUGAGGCUUUUGUGAAGAGUGUCAGGAAUAAUCUGUUUGCUUUCUUUCUUAUUGCAUGUUUUUCCUGACUCCUUGAGCCCAGAAUGGCCUAGCUGCUUGUGCACAGAAAACAUAAAAUAAAUAUUGCUGGGGGAAAAUAUCCAUUCAAUUUUCAAAAAACAGUAUUCUAUCACUUUGAAACAAUUCUAAAAACUCUUUUAGAAUUAGCCAACGAUUUUCGAAUCUUGUUCCCCAGACCCAUGAAUUACCUUCCCGACAGAUAUAUUAAAUGUGGAUGGACUAUAUUGACUAAAAUCCUGUACACACUAGUGAGGUUCUAGAUGUGACCUUUGCAAGGCAGGAGUGACAUCUGUGUCAUUAAUUUGGGACAACACCUGGCACAUGUGAAUUCUCAAAAAUGUUUCCUUGUAUUGAUAGGGAUGGAGUAGGGUAGUUACACAGGUAGUUUGUAGAAGUCCCAGUAAGAGACCAUAGAGAAGACCAUAGAGAAGAGACCAGAGAGAAGAAAGCCGUCAGAAAGAGGCAGGCUUGCUUGACUAGUGGAGGUGCGAAAUAUGCCUCAGGUCAUUGUGUGGGGGAUGGGUGAUACCUGCAUUCGGUUUCAGACCAAGGGCAGGAGUUUAAGGACCACCCUUCUUCUGAUUUGAAUAAGCACCAUGACAGUCCUAGUUUGACCUUAUAGGGUCAAAUAUUCUAUUACUGGGUACCAAGGAGGAGCUACUAUUCAAAGAAAGAGGAAGAGGAGGUCUUUUGCCACACUUACUCCCCUUGGAUUAUAAAACUGUAGCCCACUUAAUCCUCAAGGCAGAGCCUUCUUGCCUGUCUGCUUGCAUCUCUCACAAGCGUCCUAUCUUAAUAAAUCUAUUUCUUUCCUAUCACUUUGUCUGUCGCUGAAUUCCUUCUGUGCAGAAGCACAAAGAACCUGAACUUCAGUGAGUCCAGACACCAGUGGAGUGAUUCUAACUUAAAAACUGUGGACUCAAGUCCCAAUCUGGGUUUAGGCUGGGUUUGAGUCCUGGCACGUGGGUUCUGGCUAGGUUCAAGUCACAAGUGCUUUCAGUUUCAGCGUCUCUGGAUCCUCUAGGCCUCAGUCCACAGCCCUAUGAACCUUGCCUGGGAUGGAGAUCUGUUUCCUCUUUUCAUGAAAGACAUCUAACAGUUUGGGACCAGCCGUAGCAUUGAAGCAGAUGGGGAAAGUCAGCAGGAAAUAAAGAUGAGUGAUACCCAGCUCACAACUUAUAAGAAGGGAAAAGUCUCCUUUGCUAUGACAAUUUCGUCUGCUUAUCCCAACUUGAUGUACAGUCAGCUUCUUAUUCUGAUUCUGUCAUGAGACAUCCAUCUCUGAGUCUCCAGGGUGUUGCUUUCCUUCUGUCCUCCCAGAUGGGAGGUGGGGUGACUCUGGUGCGUGGAUUAUGGACCCAUUAUAAAUGGCUGCCUGGCAAUGCAGCUGUGCAAGGCUUUCAGUGCUCUUCUCAGUGCAACAGAGCCUCCGGCUCCCUUAUCAUUUGUUGCUUCCUCUUCCCUGUAGCUGUUACCUUACUUUUCCUUUUAGAUCAAACAACAGUCUAUCUUUCUUUUUCGCUUCCUGGAUCUAUUCCUAUUAACCCCUAUCAGCAGCUGAGGUCCACGAAGGCAAAAAGUCUCAGCGGAGAUGGCUUCAGCUCCAUCAGGCCAUGUGUGGCUCAUUUUCUUCCACAUUUUUCUGUCCUAGACCACAGGGGAAACUGCUGAAACUCUGCAGCUUGCUGCAGCUUGCAGGUUGGAAAAAGGAUUAGGAGACCAUCUUUUAUAUAUUAUGAACUUACUUGGUGUUUUGGAGAACAUAGCUUUUGACUGAUAGAACAAAGGCAUGAAUGUGAAACGGUAGAUCUCACUUUGGGUUCUCUGUUACUGAGGUCAUUCUGUCCUAGGUUAACAUGGCAAGGCAGUCACAUUCACAUCCGAUCCUAGACUCUUACUAUGAAAGAAAAUUUAUAUUUAAAAAAUCAGCGAUCUCUCUUUAUAAAUUGUGUAGUCAGGCUUGGACAGCCAUUGUCUCACUAAUCCUUCUCAGAGUUCUUAUUUUAUCUCCAGGAGCACUGCUUCCAGUGAUAAAUCUGAGAAACUUCUUCUGUUUGAUGUCUGGAAUAUCACUGCUAACACAGACAUAGGAACAACUGAAGAGCUCUUCUCGUGCCCCCCUUAACAGUUACUAAUCCUCCAACUACUCUCUUUUCUGUCUUAGGCACUAAAUUUAGUUCUCGCAUCUUUACAUUUUUCCUUUUGGAUUAGUGUUAUCUUUUUUUUUCAUGGUAAAACCAUUUUAUUAUCCACAUACCUUCUCCAUUUAAAAUAAAAAUCCAACAUUCUUAUGAGGUGACCCGAUAGUGUGUGUCUCUGUUAUGAUGCAAUACAUCACCUAUGGUUGUUCAAGCCAAAAAUGUUUUACUUGAAUCCUUUAAGCCUUGAGCUGCAGAAAAACAGUUCUGUGAGUCAGUGUCAUAAAACAUAGUUGGAUGAGGCGAUGUGCUAGAUAACGAGAGAGGUAACAGACACAACAGCCAGAUGCAACAAGUGGUCCUGGAUUAUUAGCCUUGGUCUGAACCACUCACCUCUAAAGGCAUAAUUGGGCAAACUCAAAACUACAUUAGAGAUUAGAUAAUGUAAACAUUCACUGGUAUGAAAAGAUAGAGAUUGGUAAAUGAAAAAGUAGAUUACAAUAUAGCAUGUGUGAUGUGCUCUGAUUUUGAACUGAAAAUAUGCAAGUAUUUUAACAUACAUACAUAUUAUGCAUUUACACGUAAUAUGCAUAAAAAGGUCUUUAGCCCUAUACAGUGCUUAGUGUUAUUGUAAAUGUGUUGUGGUUUUAUUAUUCUUAUUGAUCUUAAUUUUCAAAUUCCUACAGGAUAUUCCCUUGCAAUAAUUAUUUUAAUCAAUUGAUUAAUUCGGAGAGGAAGACAUCUCGUUAGUAAAGACAGGAUGACUUGCACUGCUUUGGAUGAGCCAUCAAAGAGUUGUGAGAAUUUUAAUAAAUAUGAUAAUUCAAUUAACUUAAUUAUUGUGAUUCUUAAGCAUCAGGAGCAGAUAGUUCUUCUGGGACCCGGGUCUUCAUUUAUUGCUACUCUUCAGCCCAUUAAUUAAUGUUUUGAAACAUUCACCCACUUAUUAAAAAGGAAUGAAAAAGAUAAUCACUAAUAAAAAAAUAAUCCAAAUCC
RNAcentral lists this long non-coding RNA (3280 nucleotides) under Sus scrofa (pig). Its description in RNAcentral is "lncRNA (ENSSSCG00000057538.1)". Lineage: Eukaryota; Metazoa; Chordata; Mammalia; Artiodactyla; Suidae. The record is from RNAcentral.